Molecule: long non-coding RNA, 9914 nt
Organism: Neofelis nebulosa (Clouded leopard)
Lineage: Eukaryota; Metazoa; Chordata; Mammalia; Carnivora; Felidae
Exons: 5
Source: RefSeq, a predicted model, not a curated record
CGCGCCCGCGCCUCCCACUUCCUGGGGGUUCGCAGCACAGGUGCCAGCUAGAAGCUUCCGAGCUCUACUCAACUCUUUUAAUUGCUCCUUGGAGUGGUCUACUCACCACAUCCAUUUGAUGCUCAAUCCCAAUGUCUUUCAAAUGAAUGGAUCUUCAAAUUGAUUUAAUACAUCUUUACCAGCAUUAAAAAAAAAAAAGAAGAAGAAAUAGAAAAUCUCAAGUACAUGAAAUGAGUACAGGUAUAUAUCCUGGUAAUACCAUAAAAAGAUUCAGUGAACUUCCUGUACAUCUGAUCACACAAAAAGAAACAAAAAGAAAAAAAAGAAAGAAAAUUGAAUAGAUGGACCAGCGAACAGACUGAAAUACGACUGAAAUUACUUCGUUUUCCCCUGGAAGUCAAACUAUGAAGCACUUUAUAAUCCAUAAACUAAGCAGGUGGAGAGACUUGUGUUCCUCAAGAGCGAGGUUGGCCCAGUUGGGCGGGGCUUAGCGUAAUGGCUCUGUUCUCCACUAGAUGGCGCUGCUUAGCUUACUGGGGUGAAUUGUUGCGCUUGUAGGUGCAUCUGCGCAUGUGCGGGAGAGGUGAAAAUGGCGUCACCCAGCUACCCAGUCUCCAGUAUAGGAACUCUGUUCUCCCCGAUCAGCAAUGGCACACCCGUCCUUUGUUUUUGGCUUCCAUCCACUGCCUGCUUUUACACAGUCCGUGACCAAGCCCCAUGCGGCACCUUCCUCCUGAGUUUUGUCUCAGAUGCAGCUGUUUUUCCCAACCUCUUACUUCUGAGGGACUGCGGCUAUGACACGUUCUGCCCCUCUGCAGGAGGGUCUUACCAAGCAAUGGCCGGGUGCCUGACGCAGCCAGGAAAGUUCAUGUUAUUGUGCUGCAGCCGAUGCCCAGAGACUGCAUCCAGGUGCCAGCCCGCCCCAGAAAAAGUGCGGGAGACAGUGUAGCAGCAGUGUUUCAGGGACUAUGGAAAAAUCACAACACACAUCUGGCACCAGGCUUUACCCUUAAGGACCUUGUUCUAGCACCAGCAAAUGUGGUUGUUCUCCCGGGUCCACAGGGGCCUUGCCUUUAGGGGACCCAGACAGCCUUUACCAGCUCUUCCUGUGUGGCCUGAAGAACCCCGGACUCCACUCUGCUCCUGAGGAUUCGCCCUUCCCACCAGAGCACCGGCAGACUGCGGACCCUUGCCAAGACACACAAAAAUGUAAAGGUAUGGAAAUGACCAUUGCCCAGAUCCUCACCAAGGAUCAAGAUGCUAUGCUGCUGAGAACACCAAGCCCCAAGAUGCCUGGGAAAGACAUUGUCCCCUGGAAUUUGCAAUGGGAUGGCCCUUGGGAUGAAUGGGUUACUUUGGAUCUCUCGGUGAGGGGGAACUAAUCAAUUUCCACUGGGAUCCUGUUGUCUGGCUGCAAGCCAGAAUGAAACAUGCACCACUGAAGAAGGGAAGAAGGUGGGGAUCCUGGUCUGGCAAAUCCCACCCCCUAUCUGUCUUCUCAUGCCUGACAGUGCUGCUUGCUUCAGCCAACAUGUAUGGUAUGCAUAACUAAGUCAAAUUCCUAAAACUGUAGCCAUCUUAACAUCUAAGGAUCAGGCCACAAGUAUAAUUUUUAGAGAAGGGGAACACCUUCCCAUACAAGUUCCUAUUAAAUGUCUGUCUUUUUGACCUUAGACUUGUGCUGCUCCAGUGGUAUCUGGUCAUGGACUGGGUACAGGAUGGAAAUAUCUUUCUGCACUGGGUGCCUUCAUAUGCCUGGCAAAUGAAUCAUUCCAACCGUUGGGUACGUGGGAAAGAUGCCCCUCAAGCUUAACAGGAUUACCAUGGUGGGUAUCACCACUCCAGGGAAGGGACUGGAAGGCCUAACACAGUACAUUAAAGAACAAGCUAGGUCUAGUAUUCUCAAUUCAACUGGUACCACCAGUACUGAUGCAGAAACCUGGCCUGUGAUACACACCUGGCCUGUGUAUCAAUAACACUGGGUGUAGGUAGUCCUCUUCUGUCACUCAAAUUAUACACCCAGUCCUAAAAAUACCACUAGUAGAGCCAUGGGUGGCUACAGUCAGAUUUGGAAUGGGUUCAUCUGGCUUAUAGACAUUUGAGUCUUGGAUUAUAGACAUUUGAGUACCUGGAUACCCCUAUUUUGGAAACAGAAGAAUCAAUUUAAACAUAACUGGCUCAAUUUAAACAUACUGGAGUAUGGGAUGGAUGUCACUGGCCCAUUCUGUCACAUUACAGGAUAGUGACUAGUUUGGCACUAAAUGGUCACACUGCCUAGGUAUUUCUUGGGUAGUCCCAAAUGGGGCCACAUGGGUGUGUGACACAAAUCUUUGGCCAUGGCUUCCACCUGGUUGGUUGGGCCACUGCAACCUAGGUUUCUGGUGGGCACAGGGGAGAAUCUGCCCCAUGGUAGUGAAAAUUGCCAACCUUCCUCUUUGCAAGGUCAAACGUGCAUAUUCUGUUUUCCACUGGUAUAAUCAUUUGGCUGCCGUCUUUGUCCCCUCCAAUGACCUGGAGGACCAGUACACAGAAACCCUUACUACAUUCACCCAACAAGGCUUAAAUGGUAGCCAGCAAGCCUGUCUUUACUGAACCCUGAAAUGUCUUUAAUGAGAAAAGCUGUCCUCCAAAAUAGAAUGGCUUUGAACAUUACUGCUGCCUUGCCAAGAGGUACCUGUGUCAUUAUCCAAAAAAGAAGGUUGUGUGUUCAUACCUGAUGAGUAUGCUAAUGUGUCAUCUUUAUUAAAUCAUAUGAGACACAGUGAAUGUCCUGAGUGAUCUGACACCCAGCUUAGGGGACUUAGUAAAUCAAUGGUACGGAUCACAGGGCUUUUGGUGGAAAAAGCUGUCACUGAGUUGGAGCAUCGUUGUCUUAAUCUGUGUUUUCUCUUGCAUGUAACUGUAUUAUUGGUAUGGUAUCUUCCUCCAGGCAGCCAGAUAGCUGCCAAAGGAGUCACCUCCAUGCUAAUGAAACACCUUGCAGACUGCUCAGGUCACACUAUAGAAGAGGGGGGCUUAUGAGAUUAUAAGAGCCAGUAUAGAGGAGUGAAGUGUUGGAGGAAGUCAUUGACAGGAUGUGACCACUGAUUGACUGAGGAGCUGGACCUCCACAAUGGGAGGCUCCUGUCUUUGGAAUGUUCCCUCUGCUCACUGUUCCCACAGGUGGAGCUAUUUUAUUUUAUUUUAUUUUAUUUUAUUUUAUUAUUUUAUGAUUUUUUAAAAUGUUUAUAUAUUUGUUUUGAGAAGGAGAGAGAGAGAGAGUGCGAGUGGAAGGACGGAGAGAGAGAGGGACAGAGAGAGAAUCCCAAGCAACCUCAGCUCUGUCAGUGCAGAGCCCUACGUGGGCUCAUAAACUGUGAGAUCAUAACCUGAGCCAAGCUAACUGAGCCACCCAGGCGUCUCUAGGUAGAGCCAUUUUAAAAGGACAGAGCCUUGAGCAAUGUGUUGCUGAAAGCAUCUGGAGGGCGCAGAUGAAGAAACCCAGUUAAGGCCUCUAUACAAAUUUUCACGAUUCUGGAAGGCAGGUAAGGAGAUCUGUUCAUUUCACAGCAACACAAGAAAAACCUUAUAAGGUCUCUUGCUUAUUCAACCUGCCAUCUACCAAUCUGGAGUGGCUGGCCUGUUUCUUCAGUCUUUCCUUGGCCUCUAUGAAUGGGGGCCAUUGUCAGGUUUCCCCUGAGAAGCUGCCACAGGUGCAAACCAACAAUACCAAGAACUCACUGUCCACUGUUCAGUUUUUUAACCCAGGCUCAUCUAUGGUUUGCAAAUGAUGCUGAGUGCCUUUUCAAAAAGGCGAGGAUAAUUCUUGUAUUAUCCAGAUAUCUUUCCUACGUCUCUGCAGAUAUUUAAUUGGCAUUGAACCUUGUUGCCGUUUUGAGGAACUAUUGUGCUACUCUUGUGAUGAAUACUGUUAUGGGGUCUGCUUAGUUUUAUAUGCCUUAGGAUAUAAUUGGAUAGUGUAAUGGCCGUACUUAAGAAUUCACUUUUAUGUAUAUUAAAGCCCUUUGUAAAGUGCUAUGAAAUGACAACAUAAUUGUUAUUGUUGUUACUCCCAACGACUGUUGAGCUGAUGCUUUCUCAGCAUAGUCACCAUGAGGAAAUACCUGGAUGAUUGAAUCCAUUCUUUGUUUUUAAAAUGUCCAUUGACUUGAAGACUUUUUCCAAGGACAGGAAGCAAAAUUUAACACAUGCUUCUAGGCUUCUCUUUAUAUUCUCAAGUAUGGUUUACAGCCUCGAGCAUGGUUGUCCUUUCCGACAGAACUAUCUUUUAUCUUCUUUUUACAAGAUAAGAUUGAUCUAUUUUUUAAGCUAAUACACCACUGGCUUUAUAUCCUUGUUGUAGGCUUUGGGAAUAGGUUAAAGCUUCUUUGUGUUGCAUUAUUUACUGUGCAGCUACAUUCAAAAACACAAUGAGUAUACUGAAAUUAAUAACUCUAGGAGGGUGCAAAGUGAUAGUAUUCACAGUCAAUUAUAGAGAUGAUCUAUUACAUUAAUAUAAUACUGAUGCUAUUUGAAUGCAAUAUAGUGAAGAAAAAUAAAGUGGCAGGCUAACAGAAUUUCAGUUUUUGAGUUCAGAAAAAAAAAGAUAAAUGGUUAGCGGGUGUGGUUUAAUAGUUCAAGUGCAUAUGCUAUAAGCUCUUAUUUCAAUGUCAGCUCUUAGCAAAGGACACCAGGCAAAUGAACUUGAAUAUCCAUUUGAUUUACUAGCUUCUUAAAAACUGAAUAAGGUUUUAUAUACUUUGUAAAGACUUACUAGCAAAAAGGAUAAGAGGGUGGGUUUUAAUGGAGGUAAUCCUCUAAGAAAUUACUCCUUAGCAGUUAGAAAUACAGAAAAGCAAGAUAAACUUGAAAUAAGCCUGAUAAAUCCUAUCUUACUCAUUGUCUUCACUUAAUAGGUACCUUGGAUCUGGAUUAAGCUGUGCUCAGUAGUCACCCUGAGAAAUUCUAUUCUUUAUGUAUUCUCCUUCCACUCCUCCUCUUACUGGGCUAAUGAUUACUUUCCCACCUACAAGUUAUGAAUGAAGUCACUGAAUGCAAUUAUUGGGUGGAGUUCUUGGAUUAAGAUCACGGAUCUUUAAUGAGCCUUCAUGGGUUCUAUAAAUGGUGAUUCUCAGACCUGCCUGGGCACCAGAAUCACCUAUGUAGCUGGUUAGAAAUACACAUGCCUGAGUCUCCUUCCCAUAGGAUUGAUUCUAUAUAUCCGGGAGGACCCAGGAUAGAUGUAGUUUAUGAUACAGAAAGAGGAUUGAGAACCCUUACCAUUGUUGGUUCAAAGUACAUUUUAUUAAGAGGUGGGAAUUGAAAAAAAAUAAGUAUGCUAUAACAUUGAUUUGAAUUUAUAUUAUUUUAUAUAUUUUAUGCAUAUAAAUUAAUUUUUAUUAUGCAAGUAUACCUGUAUACUGUAGAAGCAUAAGAAAAUACAGAAGCACAAGGAACAAAAUAGUUUCAAAUAUGACCAGUUAAUUUUUUAAAAAAUACAGAUGGACACUGAGAUUUUAACUAUAGUAAGAGAGCAUUUGCCUUUGAAAUUAGAAAUAGAAAUCCAAGGGUGCUCCAUAGAGUUGUUGUUCUUGUGUAUUGGUUGAUAUUCUUUACUGAAGGGAAGAUCUUAUCCACCCUUUCUUCCUCUACCCAAAUAUUUUUCUGUUUUUUUUUCUUCUUCAAGGAAUUGGCAUAUAUGAGUUAAUAAGGGGGUUCAGCAAAGCUAAUAAUGGGCUUUUGGAAUUAUCAAUUCUGGAGACAGACUAAGCUGGUGAUGGCAGUUCACUCAUUCAUUCAUUUAUCUAUUUGACAAAUAUUUAUUGAGCACCUACUAAUAUGCCAGACACUAUGCUAUGUGUUGGGAAUAUUCAAUCCCUUCUCUGGAGAAACUUCAGACUCUAGUAUAGGAUAUAGACAAACAGACAAACAGACUGUUUAUGUGCUGUGAAAGAUAUGUAUAGGAUGUGUUUAGUACACAGAUAAGGGAUAUCUAAGUCAGAAUGGAGAGUCAAGGGGGAUGAAUAUAAAGAAGGGACAUAAAAGCAGGGUAUCAGAGGUAGAAGACACAGAUGGCCAUUUAGAGAUUUUGGAAAUCUUCAUCAAGGGGUCUUCACUUACUCUAUUUACUGGGAAAGCUCUUCUUUGUUCCCUGAUACUAUUAUUAUUUUUUGUAGUAUUUUGGUUUCUUUUUCAUAGAUGCAUUAUCUUUUAUUGUAUUUCCAAAGGUCUCAAUAAUAUUUUGAAAUUUUCUUUUCCUUGCAUAGUUUGUUUCUUCUGAGAAGCAUUUUUAGUUUUGUUUGUUUUGGUUCCCGUCUUUCACGGUAGAGGUCACAUAGUUCUGAGAAGUCUCUUGUAAUCUCCUGCCAGAUGAAUUAUCUAUCUGCCUGACUUUCAACUUCUGUGAAGGGCAGGGGGUAAGAGCAUUGGGGGUGCAGCACUUACAAUGUAAACAUUCACCAGGGAAAAGGGGUCACCCAGCUAAUCUGGUUUUAUAAUGGUGGGAUAACUGGUUCUUAAAAAGAUUUUCCACCAAUUUUCAUAUUUUGACUUUAUUUUCACCUACACCUCAGGCAGGGGUGGGAGUGGUGCAGUCACAUGGUAUAAAUGAGGCUGCUUCUGAAAGCCCCCUUACCUGUUUUGCAUUUUGCCUUCCUGUGCCUGCUGUCAGUUACCAUUUGUCAGGUAUUUACUUUCUGGCUUCAAAAUGUUUGUUAUUUUUCUCUAACUCUGCUGUUCUCUUUGUCUUUGUAGCUUUGUGUCUUAAAGCAAAGCAAAACAAAUAAAACACCACCAUUAUGAGAUGGUUUCAGGAAGGGGAGAAAGUGAAUUCAUGUAUUCUGUUUGCCUUUUGACCUGCACCUAAGUGCCUCGUUUUUGUAGGAUACUGUGCUAAGAAUUUAAUUAAUAAUAAUUCUAGGUAAAACAGGCAUUAUUAUCGUAUUACUUUUGCAGAUUGGGGAACUGAAUUUCAGAGUGAUUAAGUGGCCAAAGAACAGACAAAUGCCAGAGCUAUGGCUAAUAAGUGGCUCUCCAAUCUAUGGAGUGGUUCACAGAGAUGAUAAGAUUUUGGGCUAGCAUUGCUUCACAGACAAGCUCCUUAUCCUGUCCCUUAUCAGGGUUAACCCUGAUCCCAAACCCAGUUUUGGGGACUAUGAUAGUGAGGGCCUGUGAAGGGAACAUUGGGCGUGGUAUGCCAUGCGAGAGGCCCUGUUCCCUAAAGAGCUGACUUUUAUCAGGUCUGUCAUUAGUAUGGAUCGGACUGUUUUCUGAUACAAAUUCUUUCUUUUAGGAACUUGACAAAGUUGCAUUUUGAUGAUCUAUUUUAGUAUUUUGCUAAUUAUGAAAUGCAGACCACCUGCUUUCAAAAUAAGGUGCUGGAAUGGAGAAUAAUAGAGAUGUAAAUAUGGUGCCUUUUAUGGGCAAAAGCAGAUUUUUUAGCAGCAUGUUUUAAAAAAUUAGAAAUUUAACAGCUGUUUUGCAAAAUAAGUGAAAUGCUUCCAUCUUGCUAAAGAAUAUGCACAGGUAAUUAAUUUUAAAGAAAAACUUGUGACCUCAUUUGACAGUAUUAGCAUCACUAAAUUAAUUAAUAAACUAAUUUUAUCUGUCAAAUUAUCGACUAGAUUCUGAACCUCUGUUCACUAAAAGCACUGCGUUUUUUUUUUUUAAUGAGAAGUAAAUAUAAAUUAAUAAGACCAAUUUUCUGGUGGAGUUUGUGAAAUUGACCUCAUAGUUUUAUGCACAUAACUGGUAUGGAGUGGAAUAUACAUUACUUUUGUGGUAGGGGCACCUGGGUGGCUCCAUCAUUUCAGUAUCCAGCUCUUGAUUUCGGCUCAGGUCAUGACCUCAAGGUUCGUGGGUUUGAGCCUCACAUCAGGCUAUGUGCUAGGGGCCUGCUUGGGAUUCUCUUUCUCUCUCUCUCUGUCCCUCCCCUGCUCACACACCCUCUCUCUUAAAAUAAUAAGCUUUUUAAAACAAAUAUGCAUUGUGUUAGAUGAUUUUUUCCAAGUGUAGGCUAAUGUAAAUGUUCUGAGCAAAAUUGAGGUAGACUAUAUUAAGCUAUGAUGUGUGGUAGGUUAGAUGUAUUAAGUGCAUUCUUAAAAAUGUUUUUUUAAAUGUUUAUUUGAGAGAGAGAGAGAGAGAGAGAGAGAGAGAGAGAGAGGGAGGACCGGGGGAAGGGCAGAGAGAAAGGGAGAUACAGAACCUGAAGCAGGCUCUAGGCUCCCAACUGUCAUCACAGAGUCCAAUGCAGGGCUCAGACUCCCAAAACGUGAGAUCAUGACCUGAGCUGACAUCAGCCACUUAACCAACUGAGACACCCAGGCCCCCCAAAUGCAUUUUUGAAGUAUAUUUUCUACUUAUGAUGAGGUUAUUAGGUUGCAAUCCCAUUGUAAGUAAAAGAAGAUCUGUACACCAAAUUUAAAAUACGAAAGAGGAAAAAGAGAUACUUGAAAAAUCCUAUCUCUUCCUACAAGCUUUCCAUAAUUUCUAUGCAAAUUUCUUAGCCAGCAAGCAGUUUACCUUGGCCCCUUGUGUGGACAGAAUGUUUUUGUCCUCGCAAAUUCACCUUUUGAAGCCUUAGCCCAUGAUGCCAUGGUGUUUGGAGAUGGGGCCUUUCAGAGGUAAUUAAGUUUAGAUUAAUUCAUGAGUGGUGAAAGUCUUAUGUUGGGCUUAGUGCCUUAUAAGAAGGGAAAGACAGACGUGAGACAGAGACAGAGACAGAUUGCCAUCUCUUGCUCAUGUGAGUUGACAGAACAAAGAAGAGAGCUUUUACCAACACCUUAUCGUGCUGGUAACCUGAUCUCAGACUUUCAGCCUCCAGAGCUGUGAAAAAAUAAAUUACUGUAUUUAAGUCAUCCAGUUCAUGCUAUUUUGUUAUGACAACCCAAGCUGACUAAUAUACCUCUCAACAUUGCUUUUUGUCUUGUUCUAAGCUUCCUCUGUUCUCAGGGUAAAAUAUAUCCCAAGGAACCUGAAAAACUUCCUCUUGUCAAUACUUGGUAAACCUCUGUGUCCCAAAUUUUGAGGAGAAGUUUUGAAAAUCCAGAUUUUUGUAUAUACUUUUAAUAUAGAAAUAUUAUCCUAUAAUAUAUUUCUAUGCUGGUCUACCCACAAACAGCACGUUUACAAAUUUUGUUUCAUUGUGUAUGUCCUAUCUCCUAAGAUCCUUGAAGGGAGUGUCUGUGUCUUAUUUUUAUUCUAUCAUUCCCAAAGGUCUAAAAUGAUUGAUAAUCAAAUACUAUAUAUUCUAGUUGAUGCUGAAUCUACUUGCUCUUUCUCUGAUCACUUUCUUCUUUAGGUAAAUUAUUCUCAAUUACAUGCAUUCCUCCAUUCUUCUUCAAUUUUUUUUUUUUUUUAAUUUCAUUUGGUUCUCCUUUGAUUUUUCAGAUUUUGGUGAACUUCUGUUUGGAAACAUAGUGGGGGAAAUCUGUCCAUACUCACCACUUUUUAACCAUAUAUACACUUUUGGACCCAAAGGUGGGAGCAUUGGCGUGGAGAUCUGUUUUCACACGAGGGCCUUGAAUUGUACAUAGAAAGGAAUUGACAGAUACUAAAUAUAAGGAAGGUUUUCUCCAGUUCUGCAUUUUCUUUCUGUUUUCAUCACCCACUAUCUUGAUUGAUAUUUCAACAGUAGUGCUGUGCUCCUGCUCCGUGGUCCAAUUUCUCUCGCUCUCAGUGGGAAGGCUUCUCUUUUGUUUAUCUAUUUGUUCCUAUUAUGUAGAAAUUAAGCUUUAAGUGGCUAUACACCUGUUUAUUCAUUCUGAAAGUGCUAUUGCUCACUGUUACUGGUUGUUUUUGAUGCUAAUACUGCUUCUUGCCUUGUUUUAUUUGGAGUCCUGACAUGUUUGCAGGUCUACAGUAGCUAAUAAAUAACAAUAAUGAAUUUUUUACCAGUUCUUGUUCCUCCCUCACCACAAUCUUCCUGGAGUCAAAAU